UACGUAGGGUGCAAGCGUUGUCCGGAAUUAUUGGGCGUAAAGAGCUCGUAGGCGGUUCGUCGCGUCGGCUGUGAAAACCCGGAGCUCAACUCCGGGCCUGCAGUCGAUACGGGCGGACUCGAGUUCGGCAGGGGAGACUGGAAUUCCUGGUGUAGCGGUGAAAUGCGCAGAUAUCAGGAGGAACACCGGUGGCGAAGGCGGGUCUCUGGGCCGAUACUGACGCUGAGGUGCGAAAGCGUGGGGAGCAAACAGG
Molecule: ribosomal RNA, 253 nt
Filed under: uncultured bacterium
Lineage: Bacteria
Description: partial 16S ribosomal RNA
Rfam family: Bacterial small subunit ribosomal RNA
Source: RNAcentral